AGGCAGGGCUCUGACCCUCUUCCGGUCCCUCCUGGCGUCCCGGCCGGGUCAUGGCCCCUGGCAUCCCUGACAAUACAGUAUGUCGGUGUUACCCAAGACUCACAUUACAUUUGAUUGGAUUCAGCAUGGCAAGAGCAGACAAAAACAGAAGGCUUACAAGAUUGGUUGUUUCUUCAGUGAAUGAUUUUAAAAAGAAAGUUGGCCGAAGUAAAUUGUAUAUUAUUCCUCAUUCCUACAUUUCUCCUCCUAGCCAGGUAAAUUCAAAUUGUUUUCUUUGUUCAUUUCAUGCUAAUGCAUGAGUCAAUAUUUAAUAAACAUUCUUGUAUUUCAAAACAGGAUGCCCCACUGACUCAGAUCACUUUGUCUUCAACUGCAGUCCUCGCCACUAGACCUGCAAUACUCUCACAGCUGACCCUCUGGCAGAAAACAGAUUUAAUGCCCAGCCUUUUGCAACUUUAAUUUGUCCCAUUUCUCCAUCUUUAUCACAUGCAUCACAAUCUAGUGUACCCACAGAUUCUGCCCACCAUACUACAAGGACACCCUUCUUCACCACUUGCUCAUCCAGUUGCUCAGUCCUUAUUACCUGCAAUCCCACCUCAGCCACAGUCUUCUAGUGCACCUGUAGAUUCUGCUGUCCCUGCAAACCUUCUUCCAGUACAAUCCACCAUACCUUAUAAUCAGCCUUCUCCAGCAUCAUUUCAUUCUUUGACACAAUCCUGUUUCUCUUCUUUCCAACCACCUAUACAGUUAUUUUCACAUACAGAGCCUUCCCAGGAAAUUCACCAUCCUCAUACACUUUUCAUUAGACCCCAAACAGCAUCUUCUGGAUCAUCAGUCCAUCUUCCACGUUUCUCAGAAAAUGCAGAUGAUGCUGGUUCUGUGAUCCCAAUUCAGGCUACCAGGGUCAAAUUCAGAGGAUGAUGUUGCUGCUUCUGAGGAGGUGCGAGCGGGAUCUCCAGUUGUUACUUACAGCGGGGAUAGACAAUCACAUCAUUCUGCGAACAGUGAGAACAUCUCCAGCAGUAGGUAUGUAUUAGAUAUUUAUGUAAUAUUGAGUGAGUUCAAAUGUCAAACUUGAAAUUAUGAACUUCCCCUUUGAAACUAGAGGGUCUGGAGAGGACACGGAUCACUUGAAUGAUUUGUAACUUCACGAGAUUGUGGCCCCCCUAGAUUUAGACCACUCCUGUCUACUCCCCAUUUGUACAUCUUGAUGACUUUGGAAGAGUCACCAAAUCUCGGCAUUUAACUCCAACCAAAAAUUAAAAUAAAGAUGGUAUGCAUGCCUAGCAACAGUAAAAAUGUGAAUAGGGGGCUUUUACGCUAUGCAGAGGAUAUAAAUGGAGUGACACUGUAUGUGGUAGGUUGACAAAUAGUUUUAUGAAUACAUUUUAUGCUACAGUUUUUAAAAAAUAUACUGAGUUUUGUUUCUUUCUUAUUGCAGCUUAGGAAAGCCUUCUUAAUUAAUGACUCAGACUCUGAGGAUGACAUAGUCGUGUUGGGCUCCCCUGUUAGAACCUCUG
Polypterus senegalus (gray bichir) is the source of this 1520-nucleotide long non-coding RNA. RefSeq lists it as uncharacterized. Lineage: Eukaryota; Metazoa; Chordata; Cladistia; Polypteriformes; Polypteridae. The transcript has 3 exons. The record is from RefSeq and is a predicted model, not a curated record.